RNAcentral lists this ribosomal RNA (82 nucleotides) under Pleurostemma geminata regia. Its description in RNAcentral is "partial 28S ribosomal RNA". It matches the Rfam family "Eukaryotic large subunit ribosomal RNA", at positions 1 to 80 of the family's 3401-position model. RNAcentral also lists the same sequence under 1 other name. The record is from RNAcentral. Lineage: Eukaryota; Metazoa; Mollusca; Gastropoda; Stylommatophora; Urocoptidae.
UCCGACCUCAGAUCGGACGAGAUUACCCGCUGAAUUUAAGCAUAUAAAUAAGCGGAGGAAAAGAAACUAACAAGGAUUCCCU